GAUGAACGCUGGCGGCGUGCUUAAUACAUGCAAGUCGAACGGAGCACUAGAAAUAGAGCUUAGUGGCGAACGGGUGAGUAACACGUAGAUGACCUGCCCCGAAGAUUGGGAUAACAGUUCGAAAGGGCUGCUAAUACCGAAUGAGUUCGUGGUUGUUAGAGGAUCACGAAGAAAGGCGCGAGCCGCUUUGGGAGGGAUCUGCGGCCCAUCAGCUAGUUGGUAAGGUAACGGCUUACCAAGGCGACGACGGGUAGGGGACCUGAGAGGGUGAUCCCCCACCACUGG
Molecule: ribosomal RNA, 285 nt
Filed under: uncultured bacterium
Lineage: Bacteria
Description: partial 16S ribosomal RNA
Rfam family: Bacterial small subunit ribosomal RNA
Source: RNAcentral